CGCACAGCGAAAGGUGCUUGCACCUUUCAAGUGAGUGGCGAACGGGUGAGUAACACGUGGACAACCUGCCUCAAGGCUGGGGAUAACAUUUGGAAACAGAUGCUAAUACCGAAUAAAACUUAGUGUCGCAUGACAAAAAGUUAAAAGGCGCUUCGGCGUCACCUAGAGAUGGAUCCGCGGUGCAUUAGUUAGUUGGUGGGGUAAAGGCCUACCAAGACAAUGAUGCAUAGCCGAGUUGAGAGACUGAUCGGCCACAUUGGGACUGAGACACGGCCCAAACUCCUACGGGAGGCUGCAGUAGGGAAUCUUCCACAAUGGGCGAAAGCCUGAUGGAGCAACGCCGCGUGUGUGAUGAAGGCUUUCGGGUCGUAAAGCACUGUUGUAUGGGAAGAACAGCUAGAAUAGGAAAUGAUUUUAGUUUGACGGUACCAUACCAGAAAGGGACGGCUAAAUACGUGCCAGCAGCCGCGGUAAUACGUAUGUCCCGAGCGUUAUCCGGAUUUAUUGGGCGUAAAGCGAGCGCAGACGGUUUAUUAAGUCUGAUGUGAAAGCCCGGAGCUCAACUCCGGAAUGGCAUUGGAAACUGGUUA
This 590-nucleotide ribosomal RNA is filed under the name Leuconostoc mesenteroides. RNAcentral describes it as "bacterial SSU rRNA". It matches the Rfam family "Bacterial small subunit ribosomal RNA", at positions 63 to 639 of the family's 1533-position model. The record is from RNAcentral. Lineage: Bacteria; Bacillati; Bacillota; Bacilli; Lactobacillales; Lactobacillaceae.